Molecule: ribosomal RNA, 305 nt
Filed under: uncultured bacterium
Lineage: Bacteria
Description: bacterial SSU rRNA
Rfam family: Bacterial small subunit ribosomal RNA
Source: RNAcentral
UGCACCUACGGGGCGCAGCAGUGAGGAAUAUUGGUCAAUGGUCGGGAGACUGAACCAGCCAAGCCGCGUGAGGGAUGAAGGUACAGAGUAUCGUAAACCUCUUUUGUCAGGGAACAAAGGCGGGGACGUGUCCCCGGAUGAGUGUACCUGAAGAAAAAGCAUCGGCUAACUCCGUGCCAGCAGCCGCGGUAAUACGGAGGAUGCGAGCGUUAUCCGGAUUUAUUGGGUUUAAAGGGAGCGUAGGCCGGCUUUUAAGUCAGCUGUGAAAGUCCGCGGCUCAACCGUGGAAUUGCAGUUGAAACUGG